Long non-coding RNA from Nycticebus coucang (slow loris), 1035 nucleotides. RefSeq lists it as uncharacterized. NCBI's taxonomy places the organism in Eukaryota, Metazoa, Chordata, Mammalia, Primates, Lorisidae. The transcript is spliced from 6 exons. The record is from RefSeq and is a predicted model, not a curated record.
UGAGGAUCAAAGAGUGAAACCACAGACAACAUGGGAAGAAAGAAAAGCUUCUGAUUAAAAAAAUGAAAAACAUAAGACUGCAUGCAAAGGCCAAAGUAACUUUAUUGAACAAACCAGGGAAGCCCGUCUCCCAGGACUCUGCCCAGGAAUCUGGCAUGGAAUUUAAGAAUAGAAAACAAGAGGAUGUUCUGGAACAUUUGGCAUGUGCAGAGCCGUUGAUGGUGAAGCUAAAAGAUAUCAUCAGACAGAAAGAUGUUGAACUGAAGCAGAAGGAUCAGGUGUUACAGUUUAAUAAAACUUCUGCAGAGAAGGAAGAAAGAGUUUUUGAUGCUAAAGAGACAACUCCAGGAGAAGGAGGACCUUAUUAAUGCUUUGCAAGCCCAGCUCAGCCAGACACAGGCAGAACAAGAUACACAGAAAUUGAUGAAGAGGAAGUUUGAAAAAUAUGAAGAACUCUUGCUGGGCAGUGAUAAAGUUAUUGACCUGCUGCAAAAGGAGCUUCCUGCUGCUGAACAGAGAAGCCAGUGCCUGGUUCCAUCCUUCACCUAUAAGAAGUCUCUCACCAGUUACAGCAUGUGGAAGCUGAAUGUAAUACUUUAAGAAAUACCAGGGAAACAGAAAGGCAGAAGUCUGUGAUUCAGAUGAAAGAUGAAAUUGGAAGUGACUGACAGAACAUUCGCCUUCCAUCAUCUUUUGGAAAAAUUGGAGCAAGCAGACCAAUCCAAGGCUGGACUGGAAUCUCACUAGAGCACUUUGCAGCAAAAGCACAAAGCAGAAGUGGAACAGAAGACCACUCACAUUUUGAGCACCCAAAAGACUGAAGAGGAGCUAUAAUCUCCCUGUGUUGGUUUGAAGGAUCAAAAUUCAAAGCUUCUUAAAGCUAUGAGUGAGCAGGCAGUUCAGUCAACCCAGGCCAUUUGAGAUUUGGAAGGUCAUUGUUUGACUACUUUUGAAAUCCACUCUUCAGAAUUUUCAUGUUUUUUCAGGGAUCAAUUAAAAAAUAUCCUUUGCUCCAACCAAUUGAAAUAAUGGAAA